AGCUUUCCACAAUGGCAACAUCAUAGCCAUUGAGGUUUAUCCAAGGUGUGAUUAUUGCUAAUUAAAAGAAUUCUACCAGGUAUAUUUGUUCUUUUUUAUAAG
This is a small nuclear RNA of Ochotona princeps (American pika), 102 nucleotides long. Its record names the gene U4. It matches the Rfam family "U4 spliceosomal RNA". Rfam says of the family: U4 small nuclear RNA (U4 snRNA) is a component of the major U2-dependent spliceosome. The structure of U4 snRNA from yeast and human has been reported. The record is from Ensembl. NCBI's taxonomy places the organism in Eukaryota, Metazoa, Chordata, Mammalia, Lagomorpha, Ochotonidae.